GACGAACGCUGGCAGCGUGCCUAAUACAUGCAAGUUGAGCGCUGAAGGUUGGUACUUGUACCAACUGGAUGAGCAGCGAACGGGUGAGUAACGCGUGGGGAAUCUGCCUUUGAGCGGGGGACAACAUUUGGAAACGAAUGCUAAUACCGCAUAAAAACUUUAAACACAAGUUUUAAGUUUGAAAGAUGCAAUUGCAUCACUCAAAGAUGAUCCCGCGUUGUAAUAGCUAGUUGGUGAGGUAAAGGCUCACCAAGGCGAUGAUACGUAGCCGACCUGAGAGGGUGAUCGGCCACAUUGGGACUGAGACACGGCCCAAACUCCUACGGGAGGCAGCAGUAGGGAAUCUUCGGCAAUGGACGAAAGUCUGACCGAGCAACGCCGCGUGAGUGAAGAAGGUUUUCGGAUCGUAAAACUCUGUUGGUAGAGAAGAACGUUGGUGAGAGUGGAAAGCUCAUCAAGUGACGGUAACUACCCAGAAAGGGACGGCUAACUACGUG
Molecule: ribosomal RNA, 497 nt
Filed under: uncultured bacterium
Lineage: Bacteria
Description: partial 16S ribosomal RNA
Rfam family: Bacterial small subunit ribosomal RNA
Source: RNAcentral